ACUAAGUGCAUCGAAGCAAAACGUUGAUAGUAGUUCUGAGCUUAGGCAUCUUGUUAUCACACACGCAAACACACAUUAGUUACUACCUGCGAUUAGUUGGUGAUUUUUUUUUUAACAAAAAGUAUCGGAAGCGUUGUUGCUGUUGAACAUUUUGGACCCAGAAAACUGAACAUGGUUAUGAAAGUAGCAACCGUCGUGGUUUUGACCCUGUGGGUUACGGCUUUAUCACAGAAAAUAGAUUUUUGCCAAAUCUUGUGCCAAGGAAAAGGGUCAUCAACUUCUUGUGAGUCGUUACUCGUUGGCUAUAAGCCUGAUGAUUCUUUGCCGAUUCUGAACCUGUAUUGUUGCUUGAGUAAUAAAUAUGUCAAAGAAUUAACCGACUACUGGAAGACACUAACUAAAGGUUUCCAAGAUCAUCUUUUAAAGUAUGAAAAGAACGCAACCCAAUUGGAAUAUUACGCUCGUUGUAUCUACAGGUGCUCCAAAGGCAACGGUCUAUUAUCUAAACGUUACUGCGACGACCACAUGUACGAUUGUCAAAGAAAUAUUUGUCAAAGAGAUCCAUAAUUUUAACCCAGGACUGGCCAAUAAUGAUCUUAUUUAUUAUGGCCAUCCAUAUUUAUACUCUUUAUUGUCACAGUGACAUGAACAUUAUAUUAUUCAGUAUUCGGGUAGACAACGUCGGUGGAAAAAGUCUAGUGAAAGUGAGUCGUACUAUUACUGUAGAAGUUACAGCUUAACGUUAUAGACGUUUCAUAUAAAAACACAAUCAAAAAUUUACAAUUUUUUUAUGUUUAAUAUCUGUAGUCAUACAAUAAAAUGUAAAACAAAUA
Patella vulgata (common limpet) is the source of this 833-nucleotide long non-coding RNA. RefSeq lists it as uncharacterized. The record is from RefSeq and is a predicted model, not a curated record. The transcript has 2 exons. NCBI's taxonomy places the organism in Eukaryota, Metazoa, Mollusca, Gastropoda, Patellidae.